This 1893-nucleotide long non-coding RNA is filed under the name Androctonus crassicauda. Lineage: Eukaryota; Metazoa; Arthropoda; Arachnida; Scorpiones; Buthidae. The record is from RNAcentral.
AAAUAGUUCAUUUGGCGGGCCGGACAAAAUCUGUCCGCGGGCCGUAGUUUGGAGACCGCUGAAGUAAAGGAAUUAAAACAGUUAAAUUCCAUUCGUUGAAAAUGACCUCGUUUGUUUAGACUUAAGUGCAGCAUUGUCAAUAUAUACUAUACAAGAUUUGCUUUAUGUAUAAAGUGUGUUUAAUAUAUUAUUAAUUUGAUUGUAAUCAGACAAAGUAGAUAAAGAAUGUUCUGCUAUUUGUUGAAUAAGUUAUCGCAACGAUUUAUAUUAUGCAAAGAAUUAGUUGUAAUUAAUUCAGUUUUGAAAUUUCAUUUUUUCUCAAAGGUCCAAGCAGUAAAUCGUCGAGCAGAGCCGGUAGUCGGCCAUCCAGCCGGCCCAACAGUCGACCACCUAGUCGAGCGGGUAGUGAUCUCUCCGCCGAAAGUGUAGAAGCUUAUCGUAAUUCGUGCAGAACUCCAACUGGUACGGCUAGACGUCGUACUCCCGCUCCUCGAUCUGCUUCCAACGCCAGAAGUGGUUCUACUCCUGCCGGAACGUCGAAAAUUCCAUCUAUAAAACGGACUCCAUCUUUUGGAUCCUCAUCCAGUCGCUCUAAGGCAACAGAAGAAGAUGGAAGACCGAGAGAGAGAGAACGUUGGAAGUGAAAAGGCAGAACCGCAGCCUUUUAAAAUUUUAUUAUCUGUACAUAAUAAUUUAGUUUGUAAUUUUUAUUUGGAAACCAUACCACCUUUGGUGAUAAUAAUGGUCACAUCCUAACAUUUUUUGUAUUUGUAACGUCGCCCUCUAACAUCGACGGUAAAAGCUAGUCGGGUGGCCGAAUAUAAGUGCUCAAACUUCCAAGAUUGGACUCUAGAAUACCCGAAAAUUCGUAUCCGUCGCCAGGACGAAUUUUAUAUUUUUCCAAUAAGGUCACCUAACACGCUACCUGACUUAAUCCAGCGCGUCUUUAAUUAGUCUAAUCCUCGAAAAUUCCGUCGACUUUCGGCAGAACUCUGUUAACAGCCUAAUAACUAUGUGAUUCAACGUCGUUGAUUAGCGGCAGAAGCUCAGGAACGAAGUGCCGUGUGGCCAACUUGACUAACAUUCCAGUGGGUGAGUAUGGGAUAACGUAAUCCAUUCUUAUCCCCUUAUACGAAUCUCUACCCAAAAAAGAAAAACAUCAUUUAUCAGCCUUUAUUGUCGUUUUGCCUGUUUUAGUCAACUUUUUUUCUCUACAGAUUUAUUAAGAAAUCGUAUAGGAACUAGCGUACUCAAUUUUAUAGAAAGAAAACAGAUCGUAUCGGAAUACAAUCUCCAACUGGUAAAGUAUAUUUUGCUCCAGCAAAACUAAUUUACUUCGAUCAUUUCGACUCCAUUUCGGUGGUCAAAGUGCCAAGAAAUUUCAGAUGGAUAAUGCCAAACUCCCAUCUGUUCCGUCUUUUCUCCGACAGCUUUUUUUUUUAUUUGCAAUUUAAUGGUCUUUAUUUUUUCCCUCAUCACAAAGAAGAUAUGGCCUAGGUUUACUCAUAUGUUUACCAUUGAGCUGCACAUUCCUUACCACCCGUUUUGAAACGUAACACAGAUAAACGUCCGUAGGUGAAGGAAAAUCGCCUACUAACAAUAAUCGAUAUGUAUAGGUAAAAGUUUGUCAUGUUAUAGGGCUUUAUCGGACGUUAACCGGGCCUAUCGUCUACAUCCACAUUUUAUAAAUCGUUUAAAGUACUGUUUUGUCUAACACUGUACAAGAUUUUGAAAUAAAUUAUCUAACAGCUAAUAUGUCUUGUCUAUUUUUUAUACUCAUCAAUUACAAAAACUAUGCCUUACUCGACAGUCUAGUUUUAUUUUUUACCGCUAGGGCGAAAACUUCUCAUUAUUCUGAUUUGUGAUUUUAGUGUUGCCAACUGUUUUUCUUUU